AGUCACCAGAAUGUCCUGACAGGUCAGCAGAAUGUCCUGACAAGUCACCAGAAUGUCCUGACAAGUCACCAGAAUGUCCUGACAUGUCCUGACAAGUCACCAGAAUGUCCUGACAGGUCAGCAGAAUGUCCUGACAAGUCACCAUAAUGUCCUGACAAGUCAGCAGAAUGUCCUGACAUGUCCUGACAAGUCAGCAGAAUGUCCUGACAUGUCCUGACAAGUCACCAGAAUGUCCUGACAAGUCACCAGAAUGUCCUAACAUGUCCUGACAAGUCACCAGAAUGUCCUGACAGAUUAGCAGAAUGUCCUGACUAGUCACCAGAAUGUCCUGACAAGUCACCACAAUGUCCUGACAUGUCCUGACAAGUCACCAGAAUGUCCUGACAAGUCACCAGAAUGUCUUGAUAGGUCAGGAGAAAGUCCUGACAAGUCAGCAGAAUGUCCUGACAAGUUAGCAAAAGGUCCUGACUAGUCACCAGAAUGUCCUGACAAGUCAAUAGAAUGUCCUUACAAUUCACCGGAUUGUCUUUACAAGUCACCAAAAUGUCCUGACAGGUUAGCAGAAUGUCCUGACAAGUCAUCAGAAUGUCCUAACAAGUCAGCAGAAUGUCCUGAAAAGUCAGCAGAAUGUCCUGACAAGUCACCAGAAUGUCCUGUCAAGUCAUAAGAAUGUCCUGACAAGUCAUCAGAAUGUCCUGACAAGUCAUAAGAAUGUCCUGACAGGUCAGCAGAAUGUCCUGACAAGUCAGCAGAAUGUCUUGACAAUUCAGCAGAAUGUCCUGACAAUUCAGCAGAAUGUCCUGACAUGUCAGCAGAAUGUCCUGACAACAUUGGAACAAGAACAUUUUUUUUAAGUCAGGACUGAAUGUGUUAAAAUUCUAGUUUAGGCUUAAAGGUUAGGUUUGGGGUUAAGGUUAGAGUUAGGUUUAGGGUUAGGUUUAAGAUUAUGGGUUUGGGGUUAAGGUCAAGGUUAAGAGUUAGGGUUAGGGUUAGGUUAAGAGUUAAGGUUCAAGGUUAGGGGUUGAGGAAAAUUGGAUUUUAAGUGGGGAUACAUUUGUACUCCCCAAAAAGACCUGAAAGUUCAUGACAACAAAGCUGUGUGUGCUCCUUCCAUCUGAGUAGGGAGUGGGUUAGGGUGAGUAGGAAGUGGGUUAGGGUG
Molecule: long non-coding RNA, 1159 nt
Filed under: Salmo salar (Atlantic salmon)
Lineage: Eukaryota; Metazoa; Chordata; Actinopteri; Salmoniformes; Salmonidae
Description: lncRNA (ENSSSAG00000104065.1)
Source: RNAcentral